CUAUUCCGAUCUCAAGACGCACCCUAGCCUAAGCUAUACUUUCGUAAAAUAAAUUACCACUGAAAUAACGUUUUAAUUCCUCCACUUACCUGUAUAACUUUAUGUUAUUACUGGUAAUUAUAAGUAAUUUAUUGCAUCCACAUUCGAUAUAAACAUACCGUGGGCAAUUGUUCACCAAUAGAUGGCAGCACACGCUUUGUAAACAUACAUACCGUACUGAACACGUUUUGAGCCUAC
RNAcentral lists this long non-coding RNA (237 nucleotides) under Octopus sinensis (East Asian common octopus). RNAcentral's name for it is "uncharacterized LOC118761013". Lineage: Eukaryota; Metazoa; Mollusca; Cephalopoda; Octopoda; Octopodidae. The record is from RNAcentral.